Molecule: long non-coding RNA, 198 nt
Organism: Oxyura jamaicensis (ruddy duck)
Lineage: Eukaryota; Metazoa; Chordata; Aves; Anseriformes; Anatidae
Exons: 3
Source: RefSeq, a predicted model, not a curated record
AUCUCAGGGUAGCUGGCGGGUACCUCAGUGAAUCUCACAGGAGGAGGUGUUAAGUAAACAUGCUUGAAAGAUGGGCCUUGCCAUUCAAAUCCCUUUCCAGAGUCAAACUGAGAUGGAUUUGUAACUUAAGGAUGCUAUCCCAGCAUUUGGGACACUUUCCUGAGCAGACGUGGUCAAUGUUAUCACCCCAUAGUAAAG